AGGAUGAACGGGUUGCAAUAAAAUGGUGGCUGCGACUGUUUAAUAAAAACACAGCACUCUGCAAACACGAAAGUGGACGUAUAGGGUGUGACGCCUGCCCGGUGCUGGAAGAUUAAAUGAUGGGGUGCAAGCUCUUGAUUGAAGUCCCAGUAAACGGCGGCCGUAACUAUAACGGUCCUAAGGUAGCGAAAUUCCUUGUCGGGUAAGUUCCGACCUGCACGAAUGGCGUAACGAUGGCCACACUGUCUCCUCCCGAGACUCAGCGAAGUUGAAAUGUUUGUGAUGAUGCAAUCUACCCGCGGCUAGACGGAAAGACCCCAUGAACCUUUACUGUAGCUUUGCAUUGGACUUUGAAUCAAUCUGUGUAGGAUAGGUGGGAGGCUUUGAAGCGGACACGCUAGUGUUCGUGGAGCCAACCUUGAAAUACCACCCUGGUUCAUUUGAGGUUCUAACCUUGGUCCGUUAUCCGGAUCGGGGACAGUGCAUGGUAGGCAGUUUGACUGGGGCGGUCUCCUCCUAAAGUGUAACGGAGGAGUUCGAAGGUACGCUAAUUACGGUCGGACAUCGUGAUGAUAGUGCAAUGGCAUAAGCGUGCUUAACUGCGAGACCGACAAGUCGAGCAGGUACGAAAGUAGGACAUAGUGAUCCGGUGGUUCUGUAUGGAAGGGCCAUCGCUCAACGGAUAAAAGGUACUCUGGGGAUAACAGGCUGAUUCCUCCCAAGAGUUCAUAUCGACGGGGGAGUUUGGCACCUCGAUGUCGGCUCAUCACAUCCUGGGGCUGUAGCCGGUCCCAAGGGUAUGGCUGUUCGCCAUUUAAAGUGGUACGUGAGCUGGGUUUAAAACGUCGUGAGACAGUUUGGUCCCUAUCUGCCGUGGGCGUUGGAAAUUUGAAGGGGGCUGCUCCUAGUACGAGAGGACCGGAGUGGACGAACCUCUGGUGUACCGGUUGUCACGCCAGUGGCAUUGCCGGGUAGCUAAGUUCGGAAGAGAUAACCGCUGAAAGCAUCUAAGCGGGAAACUUGCCUUGAGAUGAGAUUUCCCAGAGCCUUGAGCUCUUUAAAGGGUCGUUCGAGACCAGGACGUUGAUAGGCUGGGUGUGGAAGUGCAGUAAUGCAUUAAGCUAACCAGUACUAAUUGCCCGUACGGCUUGUCCCU
This 1156-nucleotide ribosomal RNA is filed under the name Oxalobacteraceae sp. CFBP 8761. Its description in RNAcentral is "partial 23S ribosomal RNA". It matches the Rfam family "Bacterial large subunit ribosomal RNA", at positions 1765 to 2925 of the family's 2925-position model. RNAcentral also lists the same sequence under 4 other names. The record is from RNAcentral. Lineage: Bacteria; Pseudomonadati; Pseudomonadota; Betaproteobacteria; Burkholderiales; Oxalobacteraceae.